CCUACGGGAGGCAGCAGUGAGGAAUAUUGGUCAAUGGGCGAGAGCCUGAACCAGCCAAGUCGCGUGAAGGAUGACGGCCCUACGGGUUGUAAACUUCUUUUGUCAGGGAGCAAUUGAGUCCACGUGUGGGCUUAGCGAGAGUACCUGAAGAAAAAGCAUCGGCUAACUCCGUGCCAGCAGCCGCGGUAAAACGGAGGAUGCGAGCGUUAUCCGGAUUUAUUGGGUUUAAAGGGUGCUGAGGCGGAAUAUCAAGUCAGCGGAAAAAAUUCGGGGAUCAAGCCGGUCGUGCCGUUGAUAGUGGUGUUCUUGAGGAGACGAGAAGGAUGGGGAAUGCGGGGUAUAGCGGUGAAGUGCAUAGA
RNAcentral lists this ribosomal RNA (359 nucleotides) under uncultured bacterium. RNAcentral describes it as "partial 16S ribosomal RNA". It matches the Rfam family "Bacterial small subunit ribosomal RNA", at positions 338 to 694 of the family's 1533-position model. The record is from RNAcentral.